Molecule: ribosomal RNA, 456 nt
Filed under: uncultured Myxococcales bacterium
Lineage: Bacteria; Pseudomonadati; Myxococcota; Myxococcia; Myxococcales
Description: bacterial SSU rRNA
Rfam family: Bacterial small subunit ribosomal RNA
Source: RNAcentral
AGGCUGCAGUGGGGAAUCUUGCGCAAUGGGCGAAAGCCUGACGCAGCGACGCCGCGUGAGUGAUGAAGGCCCUAGGGUUGUAAAGCUCUGUGGAGAGGGACGAAUAAGCAAUGGUUAACACCCAUUGUGAUGACGGUACCUUUUUAGCAAGCACCGGCUAACUCUGUGCCAGCAGCCGCGGUAAGACAGAGGGUGCAAACGUUGUUCGGAAUUACUGGGCGUAAAGCGCGUGUAGGCUGUUGUGCAAGUCGGGUGUGAAAGCCCAGGGCUCAACCUUGGAAGUGCACUCGAAACUGCGCAACUGGAGUCUCGGAGAGGGAGGCGGAAUUCUGGGUGUAGAGGUGAAAUUCGUAGAUAUCCAGAGGAACACCGGUGGCGAAGGCGGCCUCCUGGACGAGUACUGACGCUGAGACGCGAAAGCGUGGGGAGCAAACAGGAUUAGAUACCCUUGUAGUC